RNAcentral lists this ribosomal RNA (1219 nucleotides) under Escherichia coli. RNAcentral describes it as "partial 23S ribosomal RNA". It matches the Rfam family "Bacterial large subunit ribosomal RNA", at positions 1 to 1258 of the family's 2925-position model. The record is from RNAcentral. Lineage: Bacteria; Pseudomonadati; Pseudomonadota; Gammaproteobacteria; Enterobacterales; Enterobacteriaceae.
GUUAAGCGACUAAGCGUACACGGUGGAUGCCCUGGCAGUCAGAGGCGAUGAAGGACGUGCUAAUCUGCGAUAAGCGUCGGUAAGGUGAUAUGAACCGUUAUAACCGGCGAUUUCCGAAUGGGGAAACCCAGUGUGAUUCGUCACACUAUCAUUAACUGAAUCCAUAGGUUAAUGAGGCGAACCGGGGGAACUGAAACAUCUAAGUACCCCGAGGAAAAGAAAUCAACCGAGAUUCCCCCAGUAGCGGCGAGCGAACGGGGAGCAGCCCAGAGCCUGAAUCAGUGUGUGUGUUAGUGGAAGCGUCUGGAAAGGCGCGCGAUACAGGGUGACAGCCCCGUACACAAAAAUGCACAUACUGUGAGCUCGAUGAGUAGGGCGGGACACGUGGUAUCCUGUCUGAAUAUGGGGGGACCAUCCUCCAAGGCUAAAUACUCCUGACUGACCGAUAGUGAACCAGUACCGUGAGGGAAAGGCGAAAAGAACCCCGGCGAGGGGAGUGAAAAAGAACCUGAAACCGUGUACGUACAAGCAGUGGGAGCACAGAGCAAUCUGUGUGACUGCGUACCUUUUGUAUAAUGGGUCAGCGACUUAUAUUCUGUAGCAAGGUUAACCGAAUAGGGGAGCCGAAGGGAAACCGAGUCUUAACUGGGCGUUAAGUUGCAGGGUAUAGACCCGAAACCCGGUGAUCUAGCCAUGGGCAGGUUGAAGGUUGGGUAACACUAACUGGAGGACCGAACCGACUAAUGUUGAAAAAUUAGCGGAUGACUUGUGGCUGGGGGUGAAAGGCCAAUCAAACCGGGAGAUAGCUGGUUCUCCCCGAAAGCUAUUUAGGUAGCGCCUCGUGAAUUCAUCUCCGGGGGUAGAGCACUGUUUCGGCAAGGGGGUCAUCCCGACUUACCAACCCGAUGCAAACUGCGAAUACCGGAGAAUGUUAUCACGGGAGACACACGGCGGGUGCUAACGUCCGUCGUGAAGAGGGAAACAACCCAGACCGCCAGCUAAGGUCCCAAAGUCAUGGUUAAGUGGGAAACGAUGUGGGAAGGCCCAGACAGCCAGGAUGUUGGCUUAGAAGCAGCCAUCAUUUAAAGAAAGCGUAAUAGCUCACUGGUCGAGUCGGCCUGCGCGGAAGAUGUAACGGGGCUAAACCAUGCACCGAAGCUGCGGCAGCGACGCUUAUGCGUUGUUGGGUAGGGGAGCGUUCUGUAAGCCUGCGAAGGUG